Molecule: ribosomal RNA, 1466 nt
Filed under: uncultured eukaryote
Lineage: Eukaryota
Description: partial small subunit ribosomal RNA
Rfam family: Eukaryotic small subunit ribosomal RNA
Source: RNAcentral
UCUGGUUGAUUCUGCCAGUAGUCAUAUGCUUGUCUCAAAGAUUAAGCCAUGCAUGUCUAAGUAUAAGCUUGUUUAUACGGCGAGACUGCGGAUGGCUCAUUAAAUCAGUUAUAGUUUAUUUGAUGGUCUCUUUUGUCUUUUUUUACCUACUUGGAUAACCGUGGUAAUUCUAGAGCUAAUACAUGCGCAAGGUCCCGAGCGCGGGGGGUGGGGCUUCACGGCUCCAUUCUCGCAUGCGCAGAGGGAUGUAUUUAUUAGGUUAAAAACCAGCGUAGUCAGCAAUGGCUACAAACUCCCCUGGUGAUUCAUAGUAACUCUUUCGGAUCGCAUUCAUGUCCUCCUUCGUAGUGAUGGCGAUGUUUCAUUCGAAUUUCUGCCCUAUCAACUUUCGAUGGUAGGAUAGUGGCCUACCAUGGUCGUAACGGGUGACGGAGAAUUAGGGUUCGAUUCCGGAGAGGGGGCCUGAGAGAUGGCCACCACUUCUAAGGAAGGCAGCAGGCGCGCAAAUUACCCAAUCCUGACACAGGGAGGUAGUGACAAUAAAUAACAAUACAGGCGCUCGAUAAGAGUCUUGUAAUUGGAAUGAGUACAGUUUAAACACCUUAACGAGUAGCGAUUGGAGGGCAAGUCUGGUGCCAGCAGCCGCGGUAAUUCCAGCUCCAAUAGCGUAUAUUAAAGUUGUUGCAGUUAAAAAGCUCGUAGUUGGAUCUAAGGAUGCGCAUUUCAAGCGCCCGUGUCGUUGGGUCAAACCAGCGACUGCGUUGGCGUUGCGGGCUCGGUCCGUCGGUGCCCACAAAGGCACCGGCGUGUCAACCGGCCCGCCCGUCCCCUCCUUCUGGAUUCCCGUUCCUGCUAUUGAGUUAGUGGGGACGUCACAGGGGGCCCAUCGUCGUGUCAUGCAAAUGGCACGGCGGUGAGUCCCUGGGGCCCAGAUCGUUUACCGUGAAAAAAUUAGAGUGUUCAAAGCAGGCAGAUCCAAUUUUCUGAUUUUAUUUAGCAAUGAAUACUAUUAGCAUGGGAUAAUGGAACAAGACAUUGGGUCUAUUUUAUUGGUUUUUUAGAACUAAUGUAAUGAUUAAAAGGGAUAGUUGGGGGCAUUAGUAUUUAAUUGUCAGAGGUGAAAUUCUUGGAUUUAUGAAAGACUAACUUCUGCGAAAGCAUUUGUCAAAGAUGUUUUCAUUAAUCAAGAACGAAAGUUAGGGGAUCGAAGACGAUCAGAUACCGUCGUAGUCUUAACCAUAAACUAUGCCGACCAGGGAUUGGAAGUAGCAUACACUCAAUUUUUGAGCAUUACUCCUUCAGCACCUUUUUACGACGGCUUCACGGCCGGGGCGCGCGAGGGCGGUUUAGCCCGGUGGCACCGGUGUACUCCUUCAGCCCCUUUUUACGAGAAAUCACAAGUUUUUGGGUUCUGGGGGGAGUAUGGUCGCAAGGCUGAAACUUAAAGGAAUUGACGGAAGGGCACA